This 264-nucleotide ribosomal RNA is filed under the name uncultured bacterium. RNAcentral describes it as "partial 16S ribosomal RNA". It matches the Rfam family "Bacterial small subunit ribosomal RNA", at positions 88 to 354 of the family's 1533-position model. The record is from RNAcentral.
CCGGCGACCGGCGCACGGGUGAGUAACACGUAUGCAACCUGCCCUCUUCAGGGGGACAACCUUCCGAAAGGGAGGCUAAUCCCGCGUAUAUCGGUUUCGGGCAUCCGAGAUCGAGGAAAGAUUCAUCGGAAGAGGAUGGGCAUGCGGCGCAUUAGCUAGACGGCGGGGUAACGGCCCACCGUGGCGACGAUGCGUAGGGGUUCUGAGAGGAAGGUCCCCACACUGGUACUGAGACACGGACCAGACUCCUACGGAAGGCAGCAG